This 507-nucleotide ribosomal RNA is filed under the name Triticum aestivum (bread wheat). RNAcentral's name for it is "partial small subunit ribosomal RNA". The record is from RNAcentral. Lineage: Eukaryota; Viridiplantae; Streptophyta; Magnoliopsida; Poales; Poaceae.
AUGGCCGCAUCGAUCAUUUCCAGAUCAUGUGAUGGACCUGCCCACUCUCCGUUAAACCAUCUUCUUAUUUCGCUGCCCCCACCCACCCCCCAUAAGCUCGGAGGCUCGCCCGCUCGUUCGUCAGCUGUUGGCCGUCUCCACGAGGGACUCCAUCCGCACCCGCGGACGGCGAGGUUCUCCGCCAUGGCGACGGCGUUCAAGGCGUUCUUGAACAGCCCCGUCGGCCCCAAGACCACUCACUUCUGGGGACCCGUCAGCAACUGGGGCUUCAUCCUCGCGGGUAUGGCUGACAUGAACAAGCCACCUGAAUUGAUAUCCGGCCAUAUGACUGCAGUCAUGUGUGUGUAUUCUGGCCUAUUUAUGAGGUUCGCAUGGGUGGUACGGCCCCGAAACUAUUUUCUUAUGGCAACUCAUGCCUCCAACGAAAGCGUUCAGCUCUACCAGUUAUCUCGCUAUGCUAGGGCUCAAGGUUACCUAGAGAAGAAAGAGCCUGAAGCCCAACAAUAA